This 962-nucleotide long non-coding RNA is filed under the name Setaria viridis. RNAcentral's name for it is "long non-coding RNA (SVIR_LNC005044)". Lineage: Eukaryota; Viridiplantae; Streptophyta; Magnoliopsida; Poales; Poaceae. The record is from RNAcentral.
UCUUCCCACAGUUUCCUAGUGGCUCAACAGAGGACGGAUCAUUCAACAGAGUAAGUGGGUUCUCAAUCUCCUCUCCAUUCUCACCCACAGCAUCAAGAUCCUUCACCCAGUCAGGCUUGCCCUCUGCCUCCUUCCACAGCAUUCUCGAGUUCAACACAAAGCCAGCCCACUCUAAACCCCUGGGCAGAACAGGGGCUGCCUCGCCAACCACUGUGGCAGUCUUCCCAGAAAACGGCAACGAGUUGAAUGUGUGCCAUCCAGCGAGAUGCCCAGAGGAGUUACAAGCUGGGCCCUGGACUGGAAGAGGCAUAUUCUGCUUGUCCUCCUCGCUGAGGCGUGGUUGUUCUGCCGCUCCAGUGUGUGCAAGGAUUCCAACGGACACGGCGCCCAUCCACUGGACCUUCUGCACCUCAUCGAACAGCUCCAUGCUAUGGACAUUGCUGUCAUCCGCAAAUACAACUACGCCAUCCAUCUUCCUCUCCCGAAUCACCCUACACAAGCAAACCAGCACUUCAUUUGCCACUUCUCUCUAUUAAUAAGACAGGCCAGCGAAACAAAACUACUAGUACUACUAGCUAUGUAUGAGGAAGUAGGAAACCAGACAUACCGUAGGGCAUGGAGGCGCAUCCGGUUCUCAGUGGCAUGGCGGUCCGCCCAGUCAUGGGGCAUGCGGUCAGGGAAGGGGAUGUGGACGAAGGUGAGGCCGGAGCGCGCAAGUAGGGACGCCGUGGCGUUGGUGGUGCCGCCUGCCUCGACGACGAUCCAGGUGAGCGGGUAUGGCACGUUGCGGAGGGAGUGGAGGAGGCCGGUGAGGUGGAGCGCCUGGAACGCGCGGGAGUAGGUCGGGGUGACGACGAGCACCUGCCUGGGCUCCUUGACGCCGUACCAGCGGCGCUGCUCCUCCUGCACGCGCUCCAUGAUCCGGUGCGCCCGCAUCACCUCGACGGGGUCGGGGUGCGGCC